UCCUGAAGGAACGUUAAAGACGAUGACGUUGAUAGGCCGGGUGUGUAAGCGCAGCGAUGCGUUGAGCUAACCGGUACUAAUGAACCGUGAGGCUUAACCUUACAACGCCGAAGGUGUUU
Molecule: ribosomal RNA, 119 nt
Filed under: Salmonella enterica
Lineage: Bacteria; Pseudomonadati; Pseudomonadota; Gammaproteobacteria; Enterobacterales; Enterobacteriaceae
Description: partial 23S ribosomal RNA
Rfam family: Bacterial large subunit ribosomal RNA (bases 1-101)
Source: RNAcentral